This 268-nucleotide non-coding RNA is filed under the name Desulfobulbaceae bacterium. The record is from RNAcentral. Lineage: Bacteria; Pseudomonadati; Thermodesulfobacteriota; Desulfobulbia; Desulfobulbales; Desulfobulbaceae.
AUAUAUACAGCACCUGCAGGUGCACCCAGCACAAUGGUAAUAGGAAAGACGGUGUGAAUCCGUCACAAGCCAGUCCUUGCUGUAUUCGAAGUCUGCAGCAGCUGAUGUCACAGCUGAAUCGUGAUAUCAUAUUCUGAUUUUUUAGUACUUUAGAAAGUACUUAUCCCGUUUAUCGGGGUUAGAUGAGUCACUGGGAUUAUCCCGGGAAGACGGCUGCUUUGCAGGAUAAUUCGUGAGUCAGAAAGCCUGCCUGCACAGGUGAAUCCAA